CCGACAAGCGGUGGAGCAUGUGGUUUAAUUCGACGCAACGCGAAAACCUUACCUGGGCUUGACAUGGAGAGGAUCUUCUGGAAACAGAAGAGUGCCUCGUAAGAGGAGCUCUCACACAGGUGCUGCAUGGCUGUCGUCAGCUCGUGCCGUGAGGUGUUGGGUUAAGUCCCGCAACGAGCGCAACCCUCAUCUCUAGUUGCCAUCAUUAAGUUGGGCACUCUAGAGAAACUGCCGCAGUUAAUGCGGAGGAAGGUGGGGAUGACGUCAAGUCCUCAUGGCCCUUAUGUCCAGGGCUACACACGUGCUACAAUGGGCGGUACAAAGGGUCGCAAACCCGUAAGGGGGAGCAAAUCUUGUCAAAGUGCGCCUCAAUUCGGAUUGCAGUCUGCAACUCGACUGCAUGAAGUUGGAAUCGCUAGUAAUCGCGGAUCAGCAAAGCCGCGGUGAAUACGUUCCCGGGCCUU
RNAcentral lists this ribosomal RNA (464 nucleotides) under uncultured Syntrophorhabdus sp. RNAcentral's name for it is "bacterial SSU rRNA". It matches the Rfam family "Bacterial small subunit ribosomal RNA", at positions 921 to 1382 of the family's 1533-position model. Lineage: Bacteria; Pseudomonadati; Thermodesulfobacteriota; Syntrophorhabdia; Syntrophorhabdales; Syntrophorhabdaceae. The record is from RNAcentral.